UCUUAGAUGAUAUUUCAUAUAAUAUGUAUAGUUAAUAAAUUUUUAUGUAACACAGAGUACCUAACCAGAAAGCACCCUUUGUCAAAAUUUCUUAUCAUGUUUCGUCAAGUUGCACUACAUUUAUGUCCAACAUGGCUUGAAAAUAAACUCACGUCCAUGUAUUUUAGGGCAAAGAGCAUUUCUUUUAACAGUAGAUUGCACAGCUUGAGCACAACAGUGAAUUAUUCCAUCAUGAAAGUACAAAUUUUACCAGCACUUCAAGAUAAUUAUAUGUAUUUGGUUAUUGAUGAAGCAACACAAGAGGCUGCCGUUGUCGAUCCCGUCGAUCCAAAAGCUGUCAUUAGAGCGGUCCGACAAAGUAAUGUCAAAUUAACAAAGGUUUUAACAACUCAUCAUCAUUGGGAUCAUGCUGGAGGAAAUGCCAAAUUAUCAAAGAGCUUUAUUGAUCUUGCAAUAUAUGGCGGGGAUGACAGAAUAGAGGCCAUUAAUUGUAAAAUUAUGCACAAUGAUACAUUUAAUAUUGGUAAUUUAUCAGUAAAAUGUCUUGCAACACCUUGCCAUACACGUGGACAUAUUUGUUACUAUGUUAUGGCAGGAGAAGGACAUCCACCAUCUGUGUUUACAGGAGACACACUUUUUGCUGGAGGUUGUGGGAAAUUUUUCGAGGGUACCGCAGAUCAAAUGUACAAAGCACUUGUCGAAAUUUUAGGCUCUUUACCCGAAGAGACGACGUACAGUGGCAGUUACAGUUGCUUCGCUGUAAAGUUCGACUGUGUCGAAUUUUGAGCGUGCCUUCGCUGAGAUGCGCUAAAACAGCCAUUUUAACGAAAAUCGAUGGAGAAGGGGUAAAAGCCAGCUUUGCUUCGCUCGCAUGAAAUUGCACCUUUAGGGCGAUAAUUAGGCGGAAAAGAGAGAAGAGUAUACAUAUACAUAUAGGAGCCAGAGGUAAGAUUAAGGAAUUUAGAGUAGAGGAAGGAAUGGACUCAAAUUGCAUGUCCUAGGCGAUGAAAUUGAAAAGGAGAAAGAAAUAGGAAAGGGCAGCAGAAAAGAGGUCAAGAAUAGGAAACGACAACAAAGCAGAGCGUCUAUACGAAGAAAGAGCAGAAAGGGCAAAUAGAAGGAGACCUUGAAUAACGAGUCAACGGAGAAUUCUAGAAGAAAUUAUAGGAGAUAAUCUAGAAAGCAACAGUAAAGAAAGGUGUAGAGAAAAGAAAAAGAAUUAGAUUACCAGGACUGGUAGGAUAGAGACUGUACAAGAGGGAAGAGGAAAAUCCAAGGAAUUUUAAAGAGGCGGAAGAAAAGUAGGAUUACGACAGAGGAUUAAAUAGAGAAGAGUAAAUUAAAGAACUUUCUAAACUGGAAACAAGAUAAAGAAAAGGAAGGAAGGAGAGGAAAUAGAUUUUAGAAGCUUGAAAAUGUAACGAAAUUGUGGAAAUAGAUAACUAGGAAAAGAAAAGGAAAAGAGCAAAUAAGAAACAAUAUAAGUAAAGAAUGAAAAUUUACUUGAUGAAACUAUAUAUUGGAUGGAACAGAUGAAGGAGAGAAAAGAGACAAUAGGAAAUAUCGAGAUAAAGGAACGAUGGACAUUAUUUUAUCUUAAUCCACAUUGUACAGAGGAAGAAAUAAAAAAGAAAAAAAGAUUUUCGCCCUUUUUAUGGACUAGAUUUGAAAGCAGCUUACAACGUAAGAAAAGAGAAAAUUUUGGAUGAAUACUAGAAGAAUUAGGAAGUAUGAAGCAGGCGAGUGGAAGAUUAAAACAUACGAAGACACGAAGGUAACAGUAAUAAUACAAGAAGGAUUGACAAAGUUUUUAGUACAACGAAGGGAGCAACAAAACAGUGAAAUGGGUCCAUUGCUUUUCAAUUUGUAUAUAGCGGAGUUAGAUAAGAGUACCCGCGGAAUAGAAGAUAUAUAAUUAGGUUAUGAGAGGAUAUGAUCACUAGCGUAGACGGGCGAUAGGAUAUUUUAAAAAAUAAGAAAGAUUUAACAGAUAUGAUGGAUACACUUAAAAAGGUUUUAAAAUUUUAAAGAAAAAAAAAGAAAGCUUAAUACGGAGAAUGAAAGUAAAAGCGAAGAUAUUCAAUAGAAA
This is an RNA transcript of Monomorium pharaonis (pharaoh ant), 2089 nucleotides long. It is a transcript of the gene named hydroxyacylglutathione hydrolase, mitochondrial, with no coding region annotated. The record is from RefSeq and is a predicted model, not a curated record. NCBI's taxonomy places the organism in Eukaryota, Metazoa, Arthropoda, Insecta, Hymenoptera, Formicidae. The transcript is spliced from 6 exons.